Long non-coding RNA from Telopea speciosissima, 313 nucleotides. RefSeq lists it as uncharacterized. The transcript has 2 exons. The record is from RefSeq and is a predicted model, not a curated record. NCBI's taxonomy places the organism in Eukaryota, Viridiplantae, Streptophyta, Magnoliopsida, Proteales, Proteaceae.
GUGUCGAUGAAACUUCCUACUCUAAAUGAAAAAGUGGAGAUAAGUGACAAAUAACAGAAAUAAAAACAAUCAAUUAUGAAUUCCUUGAUAACCAGAAACAGCUCUUGGUUUUCCAAGUAGCAUAUUCCAUUACUGCUCAAUCAAGCUGAAAAUUCAGGAGAGUACAUGCACAGAACAUUUAUGUACAAAUCAAACUCAUACUCAAACCACUGAUUCUGGCCCUGGUUCACUCACUUUCAUAGUCUUCUUCAUCUCCAAAAGUAAAAACAGAAGCAUCUGCAGCAAUGGCCUUAAAGUCACUUGAGUCGAUUUU